GAGGGUAUAGCUCAAGUGGUAGAGCACAUGCUUAGCAUGCACGAGGCCCUGGGUUCAAUCCCCAGUACCUCCU
RNAcentral lists this transfer RNA (73 nucleotides) under Camelus bactrianus (Bactrian camel). It matches the Rfam family "tRNA". Rfam says of the family: Transfer RNA (tRNA) molecules are approximately 80 nucleotides in length. Their secondary structure includes four short double-helical elements and three loops (D, anti-codon, and T loops). The record is from Rfam by way of RNAcentral. RNAcentral also lists the same sequence under 2 other names. Lineage: Eukaryota; Metazoa; Chordata; Mammalia; Artiodactyla; Camelidae.